RNAcentral lists this ribosomal RNA (478 nucleotides) under uncultured bacterium. RNAcentral's name for it is "partial 16S ribosomal RNA". It matches the Rfam family "Bacterial small subunit ribosomal RNA", at positions 28 to 507 of the family's 1533-position model. The record is from RNAcentral.
GAUGAACGCUAGCGGGAGGCCUAACACAUGCAGCCGAGCGGUAGAGUUUCUUCGGAAACUUGAGAGCGGCGCCCGGGUGCGUAACACGUGUGCAACCUACCUUUAUCUGGGGGAUAGCCUUUCGAAAGGAAGAUUAAUACCCCAUAAUAUAAUGAUUGGCAUCAAUUAUUAUUGAAAACUCCGGUGGAUAGAGAUGGGCACGCGCAAGAUUAGAUAGUUGGUGAGGUAACGGCUCACCAAGUCAAUGAUCUUUAGGGGUCCUGAGAGGGAGAUCCCCCACACUGGUACUGAGACACGGACCAGACUCCUACGGGAGGCAGCAGUGAGGAAUAUUGGACAAUGGGUGAGAGCCUGAUCCAGCCAUCCCGCGUGAAGGAUGACGGUCCUAUGGAUUGUAAACUUCUUUUGGACAGGGAUAAACCUACCCUCGUGAGGGUAGCUGAAGGUACUGUACGAAUAAGCACCGGCUAACUCCGUG